GGNGCGUAGGCGGAAGUAUAAGUCAGGGGUGAAAGUUUGUGGCUCAACCAUAAAAUUGCCUUUGAUACUGUAUUUCUUGAGUACAUUUGAGGUAGGCGGAAUGUGUUGUGUAGCGGUGAAAUGCUUAGAUAUAACACAGAACACCGAUUGCGAAGGCAGCUUACUAAACUGUAACUGACGCUGAUGCACGAAAGCGUGGGGAUCGAACAGGAUUAGAUACCCUGGUAGUCCACGCCGUAAACGAUGAUAACUAGUUGUUUGCAAUAGACCGUAAGCGACAAAGCGAAAGCAUUAAGUUAUCCACCUGGGGAGUACGUUGGCAACAAUGAAACUCAAAGGAAUUGACGGGGGCCCGCACAAGCGGAGGAACAUGUGGUUUAAUUCGAUGAUACGCGAGGAACCUUACCUGGACUUAAAUGUAGAGUGACAGCUUUAGAGAUAGAGUUUUCUUCGGACACUUUACAAGGUGCUGCAUGGUUGUCGUCAGCUCGUGCCGUGAGGUGUCGGGUUAAGUCCCAUAACGAGCGCAACCCACGUUGUUAGUUACCAGCACAUAAUGGUGGGCACUCUAACAAGACUGCCGGUGUAAACCGCGAGGAAGGUGUGGAUGACGUCAAAUCAGCACGGCCCUUACGUCCAGGGCUACACACGUGUUACAAUGGUCGGUACAGAGGGCAGCUACAUAGUGAUAUGAUGCAAAUCUCAAAAACCGGUCUCAGUUCGGAUCGAAGUCUGCAACCCGACUUCGUGAAGCUGGAUUCGCUAGUAAUCGCGCAUCAGCCAUGGCGCGGUGAAUACGUUCCCGGGCCUUGUACACACCGCCCGUCAAACCAUGGAAGCCGGGGGUACCUGAAGUCUGUGACCGUAAGGAGCGGCC
Molecule: ribosomal RNA, 877 nt
Filed under: uncultured Bacteroidota bacterium
Lineage: Bacteria; Pseudomonadati; Bacteroidota
Description: bacterial SSU rRNA
Rfam family: Bacterial small subunit ribosomal RNA
Source: RNAcentral